UUUCCCGUGUGUCUUCGUGGCUCUCAUUCCUUUCUUCUCAUCCGCGUGGCUCUCAUGCUUUUGUUCUCAUUCUUGGCCUGUUCUUGGUUUUGGGAGCACCGCUUCAGGAGUACAGCUUCAGUUCCUCGUUCUUCUUCUUAGAGCUAAUUCUCUCAUUCUUUACUUCGUUUACCUUAGACGGUGAGCAGAGUCUCUUUUUAGCUUUUAUUAUUCUUCUUAGUUUUCUUUGCCGGCUUUAGCAGACGUCUGUUUGGUUUCCACUUCAGCAAUGUAUCAUCUCCAGGUUCUCUGAUUAAUUGGCUCUGCUUAGUUGGCUUCAGCGCUCUGUGGUUUUGCAAGCGGUGUAUGAUUUCCAGGUUCUCUGCUUAAUUGGCUUUGCUAAAAAUUUCGUUUCCCAGUUACUUCAGCGCUUUGUGGUUUUGCAAGAUUAAUGCUUUAAGAAUGGGUCGGAAUAGAGUAUAUGGAAGUUUGGAGGAGGCCCAUGCUGAGAAAAAUUGAAGGAGCCGCGAGUGGCGUGCUGCUGCUCGUCGUGGAACAAAGAAUGAUGCGCCAUUAGGAGUGUGUACAUUAGCUGUCACAGCUUUUAAUAUACGUGACCCAAAUGCUAUGAAUCAGCCAAAUAUGGGUGCCACUGAAUCAUCAUUGGCAUCGGACUCAAUGCUCGCAUCUACAGAGAGUAUUGCAGAGCAAUUUGCGACUGAAAAUCAACGUGAUGUAUCUAGGCCCAUUGCUGAUGGUGUUAACAAGGUUCCACCAACUAAUUUAGAUAUUGGUGAACCAUCACUGCGUGAGCAACGUCGAUCUACAAAACGCUCUGUGAUUGAUCCAUUAACCAAGAUAGCAACAGAGCCUAUAGUAUUGCCUGAUGUUCCAAGUUGUCCGUAUUGUCAUGCAAAACGAUUUCAUUAGGAACCGCCUGCUUUUUGCUGUGCCUCUGGUGAGAUACAGCUAUUACCUACUGAGAUGCCGAGAGAACUUAUGCUAUUAUAUAUGGAAGACUCUGAUGAGGCUGCCGAGUUUCGCAGAUGUGUUAGAAGCGAUAAUAACAUGUUUGCAUUCACUUCGAUUGGUAUCCAUGCUGAUAAAUCUUUGGCUGCAAAUUACAAUGGAGUUUAUACAUUUCGAAUCCAGGGACAAAUAUACCAUUAUAUUAAUCCACUUAUUCCAGAGGAUGGUGAGAAGCCACGGAACUUGUAGCUUUAUUUUUUUGACACUGACCAUGAAACAACGCAGCGGCUAUCAAUCUCAAGUAGAUUUCGAGAAACACUGGUGACAAAGCUUGAGGAAAUCUUAAAGAUCAAUCCUUACUCUGCAUUUUUUUCGAGGAUUACAAGAUUUGCCAGACAUAGAUGAUUAAAAGAUUGUGCUUAAUACUACGCCUACUGUAGAUCAGCGAGUUCUCAAUAAACCUACUGUGUCACAAGUAGGAGCUGUUUGGACUGAGAGUACAAAUUUUGAACAUCUUAACUCUAAACAUAUACAAAUUUAUGGAAAGAAUGGUCAAACACAGAUUAUUAAGCGUUAUUUUGCUUGUCAUGGUUCAUUGCAAUAUCCUCUUGACAUUAAAGAUUAAUUGUCCUGUUAUGUUGAUUCGAAACAUUAACCCUACUGAAGGCCUAUCUAAUGGCACCCGACUGAUAUGCAAAGAAUUUGGAAACAAUGUAAUACAUGCAGAGAUUGCAUGUGGUUCUUUUACAGGUAAGCGUGUUUUUAUUCCCAGAGUUCCUUUGCAAACUUCUGUUGAUGAUUUCUGUUCAGUCCCUUUUAAAAGAACACAGUUCCCUCUAAGAUUAUGUUUUACAAUGACAAUUAAUAAACCACAAGGACAAACGUUGGAUUAUGUUGGUCUAUAUCUAAAAGAACCUGUUUUCUCCCAUGGCCAAUUAUAUGUUACAUUAUCACGUGGUAAAACGUCAAGUACUGUCAAAGUAUUAAUACGACCUCCAACUCUAUUUUCUGCAGUCAUGAAUGAUGAAUGAGUUCGUGCCAGUAAUUCAUGCUCGCAUAGAGUAAGAACCAGGAACUUUAGGAAAUGUCUGAUGUUUUGGCUCAGCAUGAUCCAGCACUGGCAAAUGCCUUGAUCGUAUGAUUGUUAUUUAACAUGUUUGAUGGUAUGAGUGCAACAAAAAAUAUACAUUCCAAUGAAGGAAAAGGAGAAGCAAACUGUUGAGCUAGAGGUCCACAAUCAGAGAAUGUUCAAAACCGAGUUGUGCAACAAAUAACAAGAGACCAAGGAAUGUCCCUAUGAAGAGAACUAUCAAUUUGCUCAUGGAAUUAAGGAGCUGCACCCUGUACUUUGAAUACUAGGCUGACGUGGUUUUUUCCCCUACUUAUCUUUCUCAAUUUGAUUGUUAUUCCUUUUUGGUGUAAAGUUUUUUUUUUGGAUUUUGGACUGUGGAUUUUCUUCCAUUUUAUACAACCAAGCAUGAAUUGAUUGAAAUUAUAUGAAAGUUUGAAUUUUAUGAUGCCAAGCAAUGUUAUGCAUAGAAAUUUAUUAGUUAAACAAAAUAUUGAUUCUUGGACUCCAAAAAAAAUUGAAUCAAUUUUAAAGAUUUGAUUAUUGGUCUUGAUAGUGACUCGAUUGGUAAGCUGUUUGGAAAAGCUUAUUUCCUUCCUAGCCUGUUUUUUGUCCUAAAAAUUUUGCCAAGUUUGAAACCCAACCAUAGCUAAAGUUGAUAAGUUGAUUAAACUUAAUAGCCGUCUUAUUGUUUAGGGAUGAAAUUGAUUUGUACCGUGACCUUUGUUAUGUCUGGAUUAUUUAUUUUAUUUCCAGUUUUUUUAAUUCUUUUCAAUAUGAUUUAAUAGAAAGCUUCAGUCAUGGGUUUGGCCUAAUUUUUUUCAAUUUUGAUCACUAGAAUUACAGUUUACUUAGUUUUAAGGUUCCUAACAAAUUUCUUGUAUUAUCUAAGAAUUUAAGUAAAACUCAUCUCCAGUAUCUUCGAUACUUCCAAGUGUGGUGUUAUUCAGCUCAAUAGUGGCUUCGCUCAAACUCCUCAGAUGAGGUACAAGUUACAUUCAUAGUAUCAUCCUUUCUGGAAUGCUUUUUUGUCUCUAUCUAGCUAUUGAUAUUGGUGGGAAGUCUGUCUAUUGAAAUAUGGGAAUGUAUCUAUAGUGUUGCUGGGAGACCAUACGGAACAUUUAUUAUAGGGCAUUUUCCUUUGUUCAAAUUUUGAUAGAUAACUAGCUGAACUUCCUAAUUACUUCUCUGUUGGUUUCACUUUGUACACUCAGGCCUUCAUGGAAAAAUCUUUCUCAAUACAAAAGGGGAUAUAGCAUAUAUAGGUAUUGCUGUUAAUCCUGAUACCUGAACAAAGUCCGCCGAUUCAGGAAGUGAUCCAAGCUGGUGUUGUCCCUCGUUUUGUUCAUUAUCUUAUUACGGAGGAUUUCCUCAACUUCAGCUUCAAGCUCAUUAUUCCCCAUCCUGCGUACAAAAUGAAGAUUAUAUUUGUUUGGUGUUACGUAUAAAUAUCUUUUUCCAUCCUUUGCAAAUUUGUAGUUUGAGGCAGCUUGGGCUCUCACAAACAUUGCUUCCGGGACAUCUAUGCACACUAAGGUUGUAAUAGACAUUGGUGUUGUUCCCAUAUUCGCACAGCUUCUUAGUUCUCCCAGCGAUGAUGCCCGUGAACAGGCUGUAUGGGCUCCGUGAAAUGUGGUUGGUGAUUCCCCAAAAUGCCGUGAUCUUGUUCCUGGUCAUGGAGCUCUAGGUCCUUUGCUGGCUUAGCUAAAUGAGCAUGCAAACUAUCAUUGUUGCGAAAUGCCACGUGGACACUAUCUAAUUUCUGCAGAGGCAAGUUUUAGCCAUUUUUGACAAGGUAUUACAUUCAGCUUGAAUGUCUGUUCAUCUCACAGCUCUUUCAAUUCUACAGGAUUAUUUGCAUGCUUUGCUCUUUCAAAGCUUUUUUCGUCUAUAGUGGAUGCUAGAGUAGUCCACAUGUCCCUCAUAAGAAAUUGCUUUGACACCCCCCUAUCCAUGUUUGCCACAUUCUUGUGCUAUGAGAUAUUAAGUAGUUGCUACAUUCUUAACUUCCUCCAUCUUGUUCUGUGGUCAACUGAUUGAUUCACAACCAAUCUUGUUAUAAGAUGUAUACUUAUGCUUCCUGAUAAUAUAUAUAUAUUUUUUGUAAACUAUAACAAAAGAUUAUAUGCUAGCCCACUAUAGCUGUUAUGUAUAUAUAUUUUUUCAGAAACGGUAGGAAUUGUAUUAAUGAUUUAAAGCUUUACAUUUGUUGAGCAAAGGCUCCUAAAAGG
Coffea arabica (coffee) is the source of this 4248-nucleotide long non-coding RNA. RefSeq lists it as uncharacterized. NCBI's taxonomy places the organism in Eukaryota, Viridiplantae, Streptophyta, Magnoliopsida, Gentianales, Rubiaceae. The record is from RefSeq and is a predicted model, not a curated record.